RNAcentral lists this ribosomal RNA (253 nucleotides) under uncultured bacterium. RNAcentral's name for it is "partial 16S ribosomal RNA". It matches the Rfam family "Bacterial small subunit ribosomal RNA", at positions 524 to 776 of the family's 1533-position model. The record is from RNAcentral.
UACAGAGGUGGCUAGCGUUGUUCGGAUUUAUUGGGCGUAAAGGGUCCGUAGGCGGUCCGGAAAGUCGGAUGUGAAAUCCCACAGCUCAACUGUGGAACUGCAUCCGAAACUUCCGGACUUGAGUGUGAGAGGGGUGAAGGGAAUUCCCGGUGUAAGGGUGAAAUCUGCAGAGAUCGGGAGGAACACCAGUCGCGAAGGCGCUUCACUGGCUCACUACUGACGCUCAGGGACGAAAGCUAGGGGAGCAAACGGG